Molecule: non-coding RNA, 1591 nt
Organism: Ictidomys tridecemlineatus (thirteen-lined ground squirrel)
Lineage: Eukaryota; Metazoa; Chordata; Mammalia; Rodentia; Sciuridae
Source: RefSeq, a predicted model, not a curated record
AUGUCACAAUGAACCCCACUACCACGUAUAGUUUUAACACAUUAAUUAAAACAUAAAGAGGUGAGGAUAAUAAUAAUUAUGUCCUAGAGUCUUUGUUAAGAUCAGCUAGGUUAGCUUGUGGAAAUCCUGAUGCAUAAUAAGCUGUCUCCUCCUGACCCCUGAAUGUUAGAAGACCUGGGGGAUUAGUUCUGAGCCCUUGUAUCUGCUCACAUUCUCUCUAAGUGGGCACGCCCAUUAUUGUGGCUUUAAGUCUUAUUCAUCUAUCCUCCGUUUUCACCUCUAAUCUAUAUCUUUGGUCCACUUAGCAUACAUGUUUCAGAGCAUCUCAAAAUUUGCAUGUAUAAAUUUGAAUUUUCAUCUUUCCCUUAUUCCCCAAGGCUUUCCUUCCUCUGCUCUUCUCUAUUUCAGUGAUAGACACCACCAUCUCUCCCGUUAAGACAGAAACCUGGAAAUUAUCUGUGAUGUGUCUUUCCCAUCUUCCUGAAAUAUAACUCUGAAAUUUGUCUUUCUCCAUAUCCAGCGUGUAUCUCCAAUCUCCCUCUCUCUCAAAUAUAUCUCCUCCCCCCAACCUCUCCUCCCUUUCCUUAUCAUUUCUACCCUGCAUGGCAGCCAUGCCGAUCCUUGGGAGAUGUAAACCAGAUGUCACCCCCUUACUUAAAAUUCCUCAGUGAAGUCUUGUUGCACUUGGAAUCUAAACUUCAUAACCUUUAGAAUCUUCCCAUCAGAGAUUCCUUGUGAUCAUAAACUACCCACUGACAUUCCAUGUUCACUGACUUCAUAUUCAGGAUUCCCAAGACCACUCUCAGGUUCAACGAUUCACCAGAAGGACUUAAAAAACUCAGAAAACCUGCUAUAGUUAUGGCUUAUUGUGACAAAAAGGAUGCAGAUUAAAAUCAACAAUGGAAAAAGACACAUAGUUCAGAGUCCAGGAAAAACCAACCAUGAGGGACCAAGUGCUCUCUCCUGGGAGAUUCCUGUGAAUAGCCCUUAAUUCGUCUAAUGAUGAUGUGGGUGACAACACUUAGAGAUUGCCAACCAGGAAGUUCACUCAAGACUCGGUGUCCAAGAGUUCUGCCUGACCAAUGGUAUCAUCCACAUCCACAGGGAAGAACUCAGCUCCCAAUAUGCCUGUUGCUCUUGCAGAAACCACAGAACCCUGGGAAGACAUGCUUUCUUACCCCUGAAGCCCAAUUUUCUGGGGGGCAUCAGGCAUAAAAAACAUCUGAUGACAUUCCUCCCAUCUCAGAUCUCUUCUGCUAAAAACGAAAGUUACAGAAGAAUAUGUGGCGACUAAGAUGAUUUAUAUAAUUCAACAUUGCCCUGUCAGAUGCACUUCAUCAGAACCCCCACCCGUCUCUGCGCUGGGUGAUCACACACCAAAUCCAUCAGAGGAACAAACUGUCAAUGGAAGCUCCAUAAUAUUUGAUUUUACCAGGGUAAAUUUUAUGCUAUUUUUAUUCAAAGAUCUGUACUCAUUCAGUGCUUUGAGGGAAAAAGUCUUGAAGGAAAGGGAUUCGGUUGAAAUAAACAAAGAAAAAAAAAAACGAUAAAUGACUUCCCAGUCCCACUGAACUUAGAGUACCCAAUUCAC